RNAcentral lists this ribosomal RNA (504 nucleotides) under Pyricularia sp. ASR-31. Its description in RNAcentral is "eukaryotic LSU rRNA". The stretch from base 155 to 309 matches the Rfam family "5.8S ribosomal RNA". Lineage: Eukaryota; Fungi; Ascomycota; Sordariomycetes; Magnaporthales; Pyriculariaceae. The record is from RNAcentral.
GGGGGACCGCCUUUCCUCCCCUGUUUACCAGGAGGGUUGUGGGCGCCGGGGGCGAGAGAUCGCCCCUGGAGCGCGUCCGUCGACGGCCAUCAAACAAACUCUUUUUAGAAACCACCUUCUGAAAACCUUUUAGUUAUUGAAUUAACAAAAACAAAACUUUCAACAACGGAUCUCUUGGUUCUGGCAUCGAUGAAGAACGCAGCGAAAUGCGAUAAGUAAUGCGAAUUGCAGAAUUUCCGUGAGUCAUCGAAUCUUUGAACGCACAUUGCGCCCUUUGGUAUUCCGAAGGGCAUGCCUGUUCGAGCGUCAUUAUCACCUCUCAAACCCCGUGUUUGCUGUUGGACCCGAGUCCCGCGCGAGCGUGGACUGGUCCCAAAGAUAAUGACGGCGUCCGCGUGGACCCCCGGUGCAACGAGCUUUUCUUUUGAAGCGCGCGUCGAGAGGGAACCGCGGUACGGCCGGUCGACACCUUUUUCUUUUUACAAGGUUGACCUCGGAUCAGGU